ACUUUUAUAGUGUUUAAGCAUAAGAAAUUUUCAAUUUCUUGGAAUAAUUAUAUUUAAUAGAAUUAUUAAAAGUG
RNAcentral lists this transfer RNA (74 nucleotides) under Opisthoteuthis massyae. RNAcentral describes it as "tRNA-Glu". Lineage: Eukaryota; Metazoa; Mollusca; Cephalopoda; Octopoda; Opisthoteuthidae. The record is from RNAcentral.